CCGAAAGGGGAGCGACCCGUCAAAUCGGGCCAUCACACAGGUGCUGCAUGGCUGUCGUCAGCUCGUGCCGUGAGGUGUUGGGUUCAGUCCCGCAACGAGCGCAACCCUCGCCCUUUGUUGCCAUCGGGUAAAGCCGGGCACUCUAAGGGGACUGCCAGCGACAAGUUGGAGGAAGGAGAGGAUGACGUCAAGUCAUCAUGGCCUUUAUGCCUAGGGCCACACACGUGCAACAAUGGCCGGUACAGACGGAGGCAAUGCCGAGAGGCGGAGCAAACCCGAGAAAACCGGUCCCAGUUCGGAUUGAGGUCUGCAACUCGACCUCAUGAAGUCGGAAU
Molecule: ribosomal RNA, 335 nt
Filed under: uncultured bacterium
Lineage: Bacteria
Description: bacterial SSU rRNA
Rfam family: Bacterial small subunit ribosomal RNA
Source: RNAcentral